Molecule: ribosomal RNA, 301 nt
Filed under: uncultured bacterium
Lineage: Bacteria
Description: partial 16S ribosomal RNA
Rfam family: Bacterial small subunit ribosomal RNA
Source: RNAcentral
CAGCAGCCGCGGUAAGACGAACCGUGCAAACGUUACUCGGAAUCACUGGGCUUAAAGCGCACGUAGGCGGCGACAUAAGUUAGAGGUGAAAUCCCAUCGGCUCAACCGUGAAACUGCCUCUAAUACUGUGUUGCUUGAGGGAGAACGGGGCAUUCGGAACUUCCGGUGGAGCGGUGAAAUGUGUUGAUAUCGGAAGGAACGCCGGUGGCGAAAGCGGAAUGCUGGGUCUCUUCUGACGCUGAGGUGCGAAAGCUAGGGUAGCGAACGGGAUUAGAUACCCCCGUAGUCCCUGUCUCUUAUC